CAAGGAAUAGUUUAAAGAAAAAUAAUGGCUUUGGGUGUCAUUGAUAAAAGUUAAACUCUUUUUUCUUUGA
Molecule: transfer RNA, 70 nt
Filed under: Florometra serratissima (common feather star)
Lineage: Eukaryota; Metazoa; Echinodermata; Crinoidea; Comatulida; Antedonidae
Description: tRNA-Pro
Rfam family: tRNA
About the family: Transfer RNA (tRNA) molecules are approximately 80 nucleotides in length. Their secondary structure includes four short double-helical elements and three loops (D, anti-codon, and T loops). Further hydrogen bonds mediate the characteristic L-shaped molecular structure. tRNAs have two regions of fundamental functional importance: the anti-codon, which is responsible for specific mRNA codon recognition, and the 3' end, to which the tRNAs corresponding amino acid is attached (by aminoacyl-tRNA synthetases). tRNAs cope with the degeneracy of the genetic code in two manners: having more than one tRNA (with a specific anti-codon) for a particular amino acid; and 'wobble' base-pairing, i.e. permitting non-standard base-pairing at the 3rd anti-codon position.
Source: RNAcentral